RNAcentral lists this ribosomal RNA (250 nucleotides) under uncultured bacterium. Its description in RNAcentral is "partial 16S ribosomal RNA". It matches the Rfam family "Bacterial small subunit ribosomal RNA", at positions 524 to 773 of the family's 1533-position model. The record is from RNAcentral.
UACGGAGGGUGCAAGCAUUAAUCGGAAUUAUUGGGCGUAAAGGGCGCGUAGGCGGAUUUGUAAGUCAGAUGUGAAAUACCGAAGCUUAACUUCGGUGCUGCAUUUGAAACUACAAAUCUAGAGGGUAGACGGAGAAAACGGAAUUCCACGUGUAGCGGUGAAAUGCGUGGAUAUGUGGAAGAACACCGGUGGCGAAAGCGGUUUUCUAGUUUAUACCUGACGCUGAGGCGCGAGAGCAAGGGGAGCAAAC